Molecule: non-coding RNA, 896 nt
Organism: Camelina sativa (false flax)
Lineage: Eukaryota; Viridiplantae; Streptophyta; Magnoliopsida; Brassicales; Brassicaceae
Source: RefSeq, a predicted model, not a curated record
CUGAAAUUAAUCAAUCAGACCGAUUUGGGUUUAGCGAUUUUGAUCUGCUGGCUUUUUUUUGCCGCUCUGGUUCGCCGGUUUCGUCUCUUCUUUCUUGUCUGGUUUGCGAUCUUCGGUGUCUCCCUCUGUCUGUGCUCUGCUCUGCUCUCUUUCAGGGGAAUCUCUCUCAACCGAUCUUCUCUUCCUAUACUGACUUCAGAUCCUCAUCUCAAUCACUCUAUAUUAAUUAUCUCUGUUACUGGACCGGACAUAAGCUGAGUUACAUGAUGCUACUAGUACUAGUUGGACAACAGAGAGAAUGCCUUGAAUGAAACACUGAGAAAUGAAGUUUUGGGGAGGCUUUUUUGUGAUCGUUGGUUCCAUUUCCUUUGUUGGAUUUGUGUUUGCGGCUAUAGUCUCCAAAUUGUUUCCACUCUCUCACAAUCCCAUUAUCCAAGCUAUUCAGAAUGACAGGUACUACUGCUUCUUGGCUCCACUGACUUUACCAGCUCUACUGGUUGCUGUUUACUUUCAUUGGCUUAGCAUGAAGCUCUUCAAGCACGCAUGAUACACAUCCCCACGUAGCAAACAUCUUUCUCCAAGGUCCAUAUGAUGUCUUUGCAGAGGGAACAAUAACAUCUGGUCCGAAGCAUUCUUCUGAGGCUGGCCGAUCACAUUUGUUUUGUCACAUCUCAUGGUUGGAAAGGAAUUGUGGAUUUUCUGGAGAUGAGUUUUGUGUAGAAUGGUUAUAAGCACGGUUCGAUUACUACAUUGUUGCAUUCAAUAUUGUAACCCGGGAUAAUUUGUGUGCUAUACUUGCUAUUAUUAUCUAUCUUUAGAAAGCAGAUUGUAACCAACUUCACUGACAAUGUAAUCACAUAUUCAUGUUAUAAAGUCACUUUCACAUUGCCAUCAAA